Long non-coding RNA from Sapajus apella (tufted capuchin), 1712 nucleotides. RefSeq lists it as uncharacterized. The record is from RefSeq and is a predicted model, not a curated record. The transcript has 2 exons. NCBI's taxonomy places the organism in Eukaryota, Metazoa, Chordata, Mammalia, Primates, Cebidae.
CAUCUGUUUCUUAAACUCUGGUUUUUGUUGUUGUUUUUUAACCGACUGAACUUUUCUUGAAGCAAAUUCUAACUCAGAACCAAGCAUAUAAAAGAGCUUACAGUGGAGCUGAUUUGGCAGAAGCAGGUGACGGGGGCCCAGAGCCCUCACCUCUGAGACCUCCUGGUUGGUGGAGAGACAGAGGUUCCAAGUACUCCUAGGCUGGGGAGGGGUGGGGAGAACCAAGGCCAUGUCCUUUAGUCCAGAGAGGCCUGAAGUGGAGUGACCUCCAUUCCUGGCUACCACACCUCAUCUGAGUUAUGGAACCAUCUAUAUGGAUGUCAGGGGAGGAGAUAAGUUUUCAACUUGUCCCUCUUCCUCCUCACGGUCUGGAGAGGGGAAAAGGUAACUGGGCCCAGGCUGUCAGCUUGAUCAAAGCCUGAUGCCCAGCAGAGGCCUGACAUAACAGGCCUUCGAUAAAUGCUUACAGAACGAAUGCAUAUUUUUUCCUUCUAAGUUUUGGGGAAGAUACAGGUGGCAUGACUUCUGGGAGCAAGUGAAACUGUCCUGGGGGCUGGCCCUUCUCAGUGAGGUUCCAGUGAUCCAUGCUGUGGCUCAGUUGGUGUGGGGUGGUAGGAGAACACCAGGCUGAAAAUCAGAGGCUUGGUUAGCUUCUGCCUCCAGUUGCCAGGAGCCUGCUGUGUGCUCUUGAUGGGUGGUGCUCCUUCUCUGGGCUUUGGUCAUCUCUUUUUGGCACAAUGGACUGGAUGAAGUUUCUCAAACUGCAGUUUGCAACCCAUUUGGAACAUUUAAAAAAAGCAAUUCAGUGGGUUACAAUCAGCAUUAAAGCAACAACACCAACACAACUCAAAUAGAAUAGAAAAUAUCAGCGGGCAUCAAAGGUCAUAAGAAUAAGUAUUGUUUGGCGAAACUAUUAUUUUGCUUAUAUAUAGAUGAAGGUGUGGGCUGGUCUGCUGUGAAACUUGUUACUGUUUGCCCUGGUGAAAAACAAAACAAAACUGUAAAACACGGGACUUGGCGAUCCUGGAAGUGUCCUUCCCUCCCAGGUUCCUGGGGGUCUUCGAAAGAAAAAUAAAAAAGAGAACCACCCCCACCCCGCCACUGCCUGGGGCUCUUCUCCUCCCAGGGUCAGCAGCUGUCUCUUUGCUCUUAGCUGUCUCCACCCCUCCCCUAGCCUCUCUUCUUCCUGCUUCAGUCACUGAGUCCCCUCCUCCCUUUCUUCCAGGGACAAACGCCCCCCCGCAACUCAGGAAGUGGGGGUGGGGGGAUUUGAAGGGAGCGAAUGUGAUCGGAUGGAGGUGGCAAUGGGCACCCUAUCCUAGAAGUUCAAAUAAAGGACUAGAAAGCAAACACCCAAGCACCGGGAAACAGAACAGAAAGUAAGCGAGCUGUGGACGCGGAUUUGAGGGCAGGACUUUGGGAGCCAGAGCCUGGCGGCGCCGCCGCAGCGGGUCACUCCCAGAGGGCCGGCACCCAGACUUGGCAUCCUUAGCGCUUGGGUGCGCUAUCAACUAGCGAAGGAAAGACAGAAGGAGCCAAGAGUUUUGGAGCCAACUCCUGGAGAGGGAGCGGCUGAACUGAUUCGGAAGUUGGAUCUCUUUGUACACAGGAAUGCGGAGGAAAAAAAAAAACAAAACCCACCCCAUUGCUUCAUUUCCCCUCCAAGUCCGAGCACUUUCUAUUGUGCAAUGAAAAGGCUUUUUUCACGUUGA